GUGGCUGUUUCCACAUUGGCAAAACAGGAGUUGGUAACCCAGAAGCCAUGCUGCGGGGUUAACAUCAGGGAACCGAUUCGUCCCAACCCAGAAGGAAGAGAAAGGUCAGGCUACAUACCCAAAAAUACCUUUUGCCACAGGCUUGGGACUACUAUCCUGUGAAUGUCAGCAAGCCUGUCCUCUACAGGGAUCCGUGGAGAAGAUAAACUCUACAAGAAACAGAAAAAUGUCUACCUGUCUCCAGAACCAUGCAGACUCCCUCCCCUUCAGGAUCUCCUAGCCCCUGAUGAAUGAACAGCACUUCCAAGAUGCUUGAGACACCGGGCACAGCUACUAUCAGUCAUGGCGCUCCCAACCUGCAGACAUUAUCAGUCUGCUGGACUGGAAAGAUACACGAACUGCACGCCCUUAAGCGGAGCUUCACCUCAUAAUAUUGGGAAAAGUAAGAGAAUCCUCUGACCUUCCAUAAACCCAGAAUCACCUGCACAGAACUUCCCUCCAUCAUUACUCAGAUUCCCAGGCCAGCGUUUUCCUUCCAUACCCAAACCUUCUCACAAGGAAGGUCGGCAGAAACAGAAUACAAACUCCAUAUUGCAAAGGUACAAUGGGUUCUCCCCCACCCCCGCUCCUUUUGUGCCACCCACUUAUGCCAUCCUUUUCCCACACACAACCACAUGGAAGGGUUUUCACUUUACUCUGUAACCAGCCUUCAUCAUAACCCAGUCUCCGUGCUCAGAACUAGAAAGACAGCCUUCUUAAUUCUCAGCGGAAUAUGGGCCUAACAGUGGUAGGACACCCCCCAGCUAUUCAAAGAAAAACCACCAGAGGAAAUAAUUUCAAAUCUGGCUUUACAAGCAUGUAAUAUAAAAAUAACUCUGCCUUUGUCUGCUAUAGAUGACUUUCCCUAAAGGGAUGGCUGUCCUUAAAGCAAUCGCUCAAUUCUCAUGGCAAACAGAUUCUUCUUUUUCCAGUACCCAGCACAUAUUCGUCCCUCCAGGAGAGCACCCCCACAUCCCACCUCUGACAGUAUCUAAAAUGCAAACAUUGAAGUCAUCAGAAUGACUCCUGUCAUCUCUGCUGGCCUAGGAACAUUCAGGACACUGCACCUUGGAUGACCGAGGAGCCCCUGCAGUUAGCUCUGGCCUCCAAGAACCACUACUCUUCCCUUCAUUAAGAUGUCAGCCCAGAAAGCUUGGUGAUCCCACAAUAGCCACAACAGGUUUUAAUGAAUCCCUGGAUUGUUUCUUGAAAGAAAACUGGAUUUCUUCAGAUAUUUGAUUCAUUCUUUGAUCAGACAGUUAGAGGAAUAGGGAUGGGGUGCUCAAGAUAAGAAAGGGGUUGGGGCAGUCAUGGUAAAUAGUAUGAGAAUUCACAAAAAUGGGCCAGGUUGUGGUGGCUCACGCCUGUAAUCCCAGCACUUUGGGAGGCCGAGGGGGUGCGGAUCACUUGAGGUCAAGAGUUUGAGACCAGCCUGGCCAACAUGGUGAAACCCCGUCUCUACUAAAAAUACAAAAAUUAGCCGGGCAUGGUGGUGAAUGCCUGUAAUCCCAGCUACUAGAGAGGCUGAAGCAGGAAAAUAGCUUGGACCCCGGAGGUGGAGGUUGCAGCGAGCCAAGAUUGUGUCACUGCACUCCAGCCUGGGUGAUGGAGCUAGACUCCAUCUCAAAAAUAAAUAAACAAAUAAGUAAAUAAAUAAAUAAAUAUUCACAAGAAUGCUCACCUUGUCAUUCCAAGACAUCCUUGGGGUAGACCUAGAAAUGCAUACUUUAUCAGCUCAUGGUUUCAUUGCCCUUCAACCAAACAAGAAGCACUAACACCACAACGGAGCAUAGCUCAAAAGAUGCAUGCUGAGUGAAUAGCCAAAAACAAUUGUUUGGUAAACUACUCUGCAAUUAUCUCCUGAUUAGCCUGAUGGCUUAGUUUUAUUAACUAAAGUGUAUAAUUAUGCUCUUAUUAAUAUUCUAUUUCUUCUUGGCAACCCAAUGUCCCCUGACCUUCUUAAAAGUUUUGCCAUAAAGCAUUGCAGGUAGUUUAUCCAUGCGUGUGACAGGGUCCUAAAGUAAGUCCAG
Molecule: long non-coding RNA, 2069 nt
Filed under: Homo sapiens (human)
Lineage: Eukaryota; Metazoa; Chordata; Mammalia; Primates; Hominidae
Description: HSALNT0242762
Source: RNAcentral